CCUACGGGGGGCAGCAGUCGAGAAUCAUUCACAAUGGGGGAAACCCUGAUGGUGCGACGCCGCGUGGGGGAAUGAAGGUCUUCGGAUUGUAAACCCCUGUCAUGUGGGAGCAAAUUAAAAAGAUAGUACCACAAGAGGAAGAGACGGCUAACUCUGUGCCAGCAGCCGCGGUAAUACAGAGGUCUCAAGCGUUGUUCGGAAUCACUGGGCGUAAGGCGUGCGUAGGCUGUUUCGUAAGUCGUGUGUGAAAGGCGCGGGCUCAACCCGCGGACGGCGCAUGAUACUGCGAGACUAGAGUAAUGGAGGGGGAACCGGAAUUCUCGGUGUAGCAGUGAAAUGCGUAGAUAUCGAGAGGAACACUCGUGGCGAAGGCGGGUUCCUGGACAUUAACUGACGCUGAGGCACGAAGGCCAGGGGAGCGAAAGGGAUUAGAUACCCGAGUAGUC
RNAcentral lists this ribosomal RNA (446 nucleotides) under uncultured bacterium. RNAcentral describes it as "partial 16S ribosomal RNA". It matches the Rfam family "Bacterial small subunit ribosomal RNA", at positions 338 to 795 of the family's 1533-position model. The record is from RNAcentral.